Molecule: small RNA, 855 nt
Filed under: Pan troglodytes (chimpanzee)
Lineage: Eukaryota; Metazoa; Chordata; Mammalia; Primates; Hominidae
Description: retained intron
Source: RNAcentral
AAUGCCAGGCCCUGCCCUCGGCAGAGGCGGAAGCGGAGUCGGCCUGAGAAGUCUCCCGUCGCUGCAGGCGCCUCAGCCCAGCCGCGUGCCUUGGCCCAUGGCCGCCUACUCUUACCGCCCCGGCCCUGGGGCCGGCCCUGGGCCUGCUGCAGGCGCGGCGCUGCCGGACCAGAGCUUCCUGUGGAACGUUUUCCAGAGGGUCGAUAAAGACAGGAGUGGAGUGAUAUCAGACACCGAGCUUCAGCAAGCUCUCUCCAACGGUGAGUGGGCCAGUGGGACCUGGGUCUCCGGACCAAGAAGCCGUGAGCCUGCCCUGUUCACAGUGGAUAACUUUCUGAAGUUGUUUUUCCAAGGACAAAGGAAUCAUUAGGACAAAUUGUUAUUACUGCUUCAUGGUGGAGAUGCUUCUGGUUUAUUUUGUGGCUACCGCUGUUACUGCUUGGAGUGCCUCACCGAGCCAGCUAACAACUGCGUGCGUGAGCACAGGGAAAGGCUUCUUGAGAAAUGAAAACUAGAUUGUAGAUUUAGGAGGGGAAUAGGAAGGUUAGCUCUGUACAGCCGAAAGCCUUUUGGUAAGUUGGAGGUGCUUGAAUUUCCUCGCUGACUGCAUCUUGGUGACUUCUCUGAAGAGACCUUCGAGGGCACUGGGGGGUGAUUGUUGGAGGGCUUGGGGAGCUCAGGCAGCACUUGUGUGGGAACGUGGCUGUUACAGGAACUGCAGAAACUGGGACUGGGUUCCUAGGGAAAGGAUUGGGGGUGUUGGAGGCGCUGGCCAGGGGAUUAUGGGGAGGUGUUCUUAUCAGUGUGCGAAUACUGGGCGUUCAGGCAGCGGGAAAUCCGGGUCCUUGCGUGUUG